This 253-nucleotide ribosomal RNA is filed under the name uncultured bacterium. Its description in RNAcentral is "partial 16S ribosomal RNA". It matches the Rfam family "Bacterial small subunit ribosomal RNA", at positions 524 to 776 of the family's 1533-position model. The record is from RNAcentral.
UACGAAGGGGGCUAGCGUUGCUCGGAAUGACUGGGCGUAAAGGGCGCGUAGGCGGCCUGCUAAGUCGAACGUGAAAUCCCCGGGCUCAACCCGGGAACUGCGUCCGAUACUGGCAGGCUUGAAUCCGGGAGAGGGAUGUGGAAUUCCAGGUGUAGCGGUGAAAUGCGUAGAUAUCAGGAGGAACACCUGUGGUGUAGACAGCUUACUGGACCACUUCUGACGCUGAGACACGAAAGCGUGGGUAGCAAACAGG